AUUAAAAGAAAUAACAUCAGUGGUGUUCGCAGUUCGCAGUGCCAACUCAUAUAUUUCUAUUGUUUGUGAAUAACGUCGUUAUUGUUGUAAAAAUAAAUACAGCAAUGUUUGUAACUGUCAUAUUAAUAACUUUAAUUUGUCUUGGAGUGAGUUACAUUUUGUCGAAUUUCUGGCGUCGAUCUUUUAUUAAAAAAGUAAACACUUUCCCAGGUCCAAAAGCAUAUCCACUUGUUGGAAGUGUUCCCUAUUUUUUGAGAGUAAAUAUUAGUGAUAUUGAACAAGUUACGAAUACAUUAGUAAAUAAUUUUUCAUCUCCAUUUCGAUUCUGGGUAGGAAAUACUGCAUAUAUCGGUUUAUAUGACGGAGAACACGUAAAGGCUGUCUUGCAAAGUCGAUGCUUCGAGAAAAGUUCAAUAUAUAAAAUUUUUAAACCAGUAUUUAGAACAGGACUUGUCACAUCUUCUG
Non-coding RNA from Linepithema humile (Argentine ant), 465 nucleotides. Lineage: Eukaryota; Metazoa; Arthropoda; Insecta; Hymenoptera; Formicidae. The record is from RefSeq and is a predicted model, not a curated record.